CAGUAGGGAAUCUUCCGCAAUGGACGAAAGUCUGACGGAGCAACGCCGCGUGAGUGAUGAAGGUUUUCGGAUCGUAAAGCUCUGUUGUUAGGGAAGAACAAGUACCGUUCGAAUAGGGCGGUACCUUGACGGUACCUAACCAGAAAGCCACGGCUAACUACGUGCCAGCAGCCGCGGUAAUACGUAGGUGACAGCGUUGUCCGGACUUAUUGGGCGUAUCGGGCUCGCAGGCGGUUUCUUAAGUCUGAUCUGAAAGCCCCCGGCUCAACCGGGGAGGGUCAUUGGAAACUGGGGAACUUGAGUGCAGAAGAGGAGAGUGGAAUUCCACGUGUAGCGGUGAAAUGCGUAAAGAUGUGGAGGAACACCAGUGGCGAAGGCCACUAUCUGGUCUGUAGGUGACCCUAAAAAGCGCAAGCGUGGCAGAGAAAAGGAUUAUGGGCCUGGUAUUCGGGGCCCCAGGGGAAGAAUGCUGUGUGUAUAAACCCACCCCCAUUCAUGAGCAUCCAUUUUUUUCCAAAAGGCA
Molecule: ribosomal RNA, 523 nt
Filed under: Bacillus subtilis
Lineage: Bacteria; Bacillati; Bacillota; Bacilli; Caryophanales; Bacillaceae
Description: bacterial SSU rRNA
Rfam family: Bacterial small subunit ribosomal RNA
Source: RNAcentral